RNAcentral lists this ribosomal RNA (263 nucleotides) under uncultured bacterium. RNAcentral describes it as "partial 16S ribosomal RNA". It matches the Rfam family "Bacterial small subunit ribosomal RNA", at positions 793 to 1055 of the family's 1533-position model. The record is from RNAcentral.
GUCCUAGCAGUAAACGGUGCACGCUUGGUGUGAGGGGAAUCGACCCCCCUUGUGCCGGAGCUAACGCGUUAAGCGUGCCGCCUGGGAAGUACGGUCGCAAGACUAAAACUCAAAGAAAUUGACGGGGACCCGCACAAGCGGUGGAGUAUGUGGCUUAAUUCGAUGCAACGCGAAGAACCUUACCAAGGCUUGACAUGCAUCUCUAAACACGUGAAAGCGUGUGACCCUUCGGGGAAUUUGCACAGGUGCUGCAUGGCCGUCGU